Molecule: ribosomal RNA, 721 nt
Filed under: Paenibacillus pabuli
Lineage: Bacteria; Bacillati; Bacillota; Bacilli; Caryophanales; Paenibacillaceae
Description: bacterial SSU rRNA
Rfam family: Bacterial small subunit ribosomal RNA
Source: RNAcentral
GCAUAAUACAUGCAAGUCGAGCGGACUAUGCAUAGAGAAGCUUGCUUCCUUGAUACUUAGCGGCGGACGGGUGAGUAACACGUAGGCAACCUGCCCUCAAGUUUGGGACAACUACCGGAAACGGUAGCUAAUACCGAAUAAUUGUUUUCUUCGCCUGAAGGAAACUGGAAAGACGGAGCAAUCUGUCACUUGGGGAUGGGCCUGCGGCGCAUUAGCUAGUUGGUGAGGUAACGGCUCACCAAGGCGACGAUGCGUAGCCGACCUGAGAGGGUGAUCGGCCACACUGGGACUGAGACACGGCCCAGACUCCUACGGGAGGCAGCAGUAGGGAAUCUUCCGCAAUGGGCGAAAGCCUGACGGAGCAAUGCCGCGUGAGUGAUGAAGGUUUUCGGAUCGUAAAGCUCUGUUGCCAGGGAAGAACGCUUGGGAGAGUAACUGCUCUCAAGGUGACGGUACCUGAGAAGAAAGCCCCGGCUAACUACGUGCCAGCAGCCGCGGUAAUACGUAGGGGGCAAGCGUUGUCCGGAAUUAUUGGGCGUAAAGCGCGCGCAGGCGGUCAUUUAAGUCUGGUGUUUAAUCCCGGGGCUCAACCCCGGAUCGCACUGGAAACUGGGUGACUUGAGUGCAGAAGAGGAGAGUGGAAUUCCACGUGUAGCGGUGAAAUGCGUAGAUAUGUGGAGGAACACCAGUGGCGAAGGCGACUCUCUGGGCUGUAACUGAC